GUCACCAAAACAGGGUCAGCAUAGGGUGCUCAGAGCGGGACUAUUCACAGAGCCCUACUGACGGUCCCACCCUCUACAGGCAGGGCCUGGGGGAACUCUGCCAGGCCGGGCACUGUCCCCCUUCUCUAGGGAGGCCUCAUGGCCCAUGGGCGGGCACUUUGGGCUCCUUCACAUCUAAGAUUGAAUCCUGACUCUGCCAUUCUCUGCAUGAGCUCGGAAAGCCUCAUUCUUUUCAUCUGUACAAUGGAGAUAAUAAUAUCUGCUUAACGUUGUUGUGAGGAUUAAAUGAGAUAGGAUAUAUAGCCCCCAACACACUGGCACAGGGAUCACGCAGAUGAUCAAAAAGCCAGUUCAGAGUGUCUCAGUCACUUUCCAAGACUAAACAAUAAGUAAAUGUCAGAGCCAGAUUCAAACCUCAGUUGACCCAACUCUAAGUCACGCUCCAGCUCCGCAUGGCCUCUCACCAAAAAAUUAUCACCAUGGCCCUUGCCAACAAACGCUGAUAAUCCAAGGGAAGCUGGAAAACGUACCCAAAACAGCCUUAAGGACAUACAUGUGCAGCACCUGCCAACACAUGCACACUGGGAGGAGCCUCAGCCCUCUGGCAGGCUGGUGCACGGUCAGACGGAGCACUGGCUGGGACAGAAGGAGCCGGAGCUCCAGAAUUUCUCUUUAAGAGGAGCUGAGGAAGUGGCAAGCUGGUAGGAAGAUGGGGCUGGGGACUCGGGAUAAGCUGCACUGCACGGUGUGGAGUAUCCUUCACCCACCCUGACUGUCGAUCUAAAACCCAGAUGCCCGGACGGAGGUGACUUCCCGAGAAGGGCUCUAUCUGGAGAAGACCUCUGGGGCCCUGACUUCUCAGCUCAGGCUGGGCCUGGCUCUGCUUCACAGACCCCAUCAUUACCAUCAGAAAUUCUCUACUCAGCGCUCGCUGAAGCUCAGGGUGAGCGGGGCAGCAGAGGUACGGAGCCCAAGAGUGGGGUGAAGGACACACCGGGGGGCCCUUCCUGUGGCCUUCGUGGCCGGCGUGGUGAGCAUCUGGUCCCACUUAGGAGUUGGUUUGACAUUUGUGUGGUCCCCAAAGCUCGUGUGGUUUUUGAAACCUUACGAAACGUUCAAAAUAAAUUCCUCCAGCUUGAAAAAGCUGAGGCCCA
Aethalodelphis obliquidens (Pacific white-sided dolphin) is the source of this 1154-nucleotide long non-coding RNA. RefSeq lists it as uncharacterized. The transcript is spliced from 2 exons. NCBI's taxonomy places the organism in Eukaryota, Metazoa, Chordata, Mammalia, Artiodactyla, Delphinidae. The record is from RefSeq and is a predicted model, not a curated record.